CCUACGGGAGGCAGCAGUGAGGAAUAUUGGUCAAUGGGCGCAAGCCUGAACCAGCCAAGUCGCGUGAGGGAUGACGGUCCUCUGGAUUGUAAACCUCUUUUGUCGGGGAGCAAGGCCCGCCACGUGUGGCGGGAAGGAGAGUACCCGCAGAAAAAGCAUCGGCAAACUCCGUACCAGCAGCCGCGGUAUUACGGAGGAUGCGAGCGUUAUCCGGAUUUAUUGGGUUUAAAGGGUGCGUAGGCGGAAGGUUAGGUAAGCGGGCAAAUGUCGGUGCUAACCACCGGCCUGCCGUUGAAACUGGUCUUCUAGAGUGAUCGAGAAGGAUGCGGAAUGCGAGGUGUAGCGGUGAAAUGCAUAGAUAUCACGCAGAACACCGAUUGCGAAGGCAGCAGACCGGCGCUCAACUGACGCUGAGGCACGAAAGCGUGGGGAGCGAACAGGAUUAGAUACCCGUGUAGUC
Molecule: ribosomal RNA, 460 nt
Filed under: uncultured bacterium
Lineage: Bacteria
Description: partial 16S ribosomal RNA
Rfam family: Bacterial small subunit ribosomal RNA
Source: RNAcentral